GGGGCUAUAGCUCAGCUGGGAGAGCGUUACACUGGCAGUGUAGAGGUCAGGGGUUCGAGCCCCCUUAGCUCCACCA
RNAcentral lists this transfer RNA (76 nucleotides) under Alphaproteobacteria bacterium TMED194. RNAcentral describes it as "tRNA-Ala". It matches the Rfam family "tRNA". From Rfam's summary of the family: Transfer RNA (tRNA) molecules are approximately 80 nucleotides in length. Their secondary structure includes four short double-helical elements and three loops (D, anti-codon, and T loops). Lineage: Bacteria; Pseudomonadati; Pseudomonadota; Alphaproteobacteria. The record is from RNAcentral.